This 55-nucleotide small RNA is filed under the name Citrobacter portucalensis. Its description in RNAcentral is "rydB RNA". It matches the Rfam family "rydB RNA". Rfam says of the family: This family consists of several bacterial sequences from E. coli, Shigella flexneri and Salmonella species. This RNA gene was discovered by an RNA screen between the ydiC and ydiH in E. coli. This gene is only 67 bases in length and is composed of a hairpin like structure. The record is from RNAcentral. Lineage: Bacteria; Pseudomonadati; Pseudomonadota; Gammaproteobacteria; Enterobacterales; Enterobacteriaceae.
GCCCCUUCAAGAGCUAAGCCAAUAUGAGUGCCGGAGAUAAGCGCCGGAUGGGGCC